RNAcentral lists this ribosomal RNA (483 nucleotides) under uncultured bacterium. RNAcentral's name for it is "partial 16S ribosomal RNA". It matches the Rfam family "Bacterial small subunit ribosomal RNA", at positions 29 to 507 of the family's 1533-position model. The record is from RNAcentral.
AUUGAACGCUGGCGGAAUGCUUUACACAUGCAAGUCGAGCGGCAGCGCGGCCUUCGGGCUGGCGGCGAGCGGCGAACGGGUGAGUAAUGCAUCGGAACAUGCCCAGUCGUGGGGGAUAACACUUCGAAAGAAGUGCUAAUACCGCAUACGUCCUGAGGGGGAAAGCGGGGGAUCGCAAGACCUCGCGCGAUUGGAGUGGCCGAUGUCAGAUUAGCUAGUUGGUGGGGUAAAGGCCUACCAAGGCGACGAUCUGUAGCUGGUCUGAGAGGAUGAUCAGCCACACUGGGACUGAGACACGGCCCAGACUCCUACGGGAGGCAGCAGUGGGGAAUUUUGGACAAUGGGGGCAACCCUGAUCCAGCCAUUCCGCGUGAGUGAAGAAGGCCUUCGGGUUGUAAAGCUCUUCGGCAGGAACGAAACGGUGGGCUCUAACAUAGUCCGCUAAUGACGGUACCUGAAGAAGAAGCACCGGCUAACUACGUG